Solanum pennellii is the source of this 742-nucleotide RNA transcript. RefSeq lists it as uncharacterized. The transcript has 5 exons. NCBI's taxonomy places the organism in Eukaryota, Viridiplantae, Streptophyta, Magnoliopsida, Solanales, Solanaceae. The record is from RefSeq and is a predicted model, not a curated record.
UCGAAAAAAUUCGGAGAGAUUUUUUUUCGUCAAUUGACUAUACAAUUGAGUGGAAUUUCCAUGAAAGUGAGAGAUGAGUAUGAAGAGGAAAUCACGUGGGUAAAGCUUUCGACAAUGGCGAAGAAUGGGCAUUUUUUUUCCUUAUAAGUUGAACUUUUGCAGAAGAAAAAAAGAAUCAGUUGAUUCUGAUAUGAUAGAAUAUUUUAUGGAGUUUGGAGGAAUGCAAUUUGUGAGCAGUUUAAAAGGAAUCUAUCAACAACCUUCACUUAAAGUGGCGAAAAGAAUCACAACUGUUUUACUGGCAUGGUGGCUACUGGCUAUGAUGAUAAGUAACUUUUGUGAUCUCAUGGGACCACUUCAGCUUCUCCAAGGGAAAGGAUGAACAGAGAGGACUGCGCAUUGGGGAGCUUUUCUCCUCGCAAGGGGCGGAGGCUGGAUUCCAGAAAUGCUAAAAUGUCACAUCUGAACCAGCUUUACCAACGUGGAAGCAGCGCCUGUGAAGCAAAUUCAUGUGAUGACGCUCAGUUGUGUCUUCGACAGAGUGUACCUUUUUUUGAGCUCCCAUUAUUUCCUCUUCUCCCUAUGUGCAUGUUUUUCGAAUUUUAUCGAAAAUAAUUUUUCUAUUAUAUAGCAAUAGUAGCAAAUUUAUAUGCUAUAUAAAGCAUAUGAAAUUAUGAUAUUUUUUGUAAAUUAGGUAUUAUGUGUAUAUAUUUCAAAAUUAGUAUAAUAUUAUCUGCUGAUA